UACGUAGGUGGCGAGCGUUGUCCGGAUUCACUGGGCGUAAAGGGAGCGUAGGCGGACUUUUAAGUGAGAUGUGAAAUACUCGGGCUCAACUUGAGUGCUGCAUUUCAAACUGGAAGUCUAGAGUGCAGGAGAGGAGAAUGGAAUUCCUAGUGUAGCGGUGAAAUGCGUAGAGAUUAGGAAGAACACCAGUGGCGAAGGCGGUUCUCUGGACUGUAACUGACGCUGAGGCUCGAAAGCGUGGGGAGCAAACAGG
Molecule: ribosomal RNA, 253 nt
Filed under: uncultured bacterium
Lineage: Bacteria
Description: partial 16S ribosomal RNA
Rfam family: Bacterial small subunit ribosomal RNA
Source: RNAcentral